UUGCUCUCUCCACUCCUUCGGUUAUGGCUGAGAAGAGACCGGACUCUCCACUCUCUCCCUCGUUCUUUUCUUCCCAAGCCCGCAACUUUUUCUUCCUUUCUUUCUCCUCUCGGUCUCUCCCUUCUCACUCUAUCUUCCACUCUUCCGUUGUUUCUUUCUUCUUUCGGUUUUCUCCAACCUCAGCCACCCUCUCCUUGUUUGCCUUUUUCCGUUCUCAGUCUUUUU
This 225-nucleotide long non-coding RNA is filed under the name Coffea arabica (coffee). Its description in RNAcentral is "long non-coding RNA (CARA_LNC001907)". The record is from RNAcentral. Lineage: Eukaryota; Viridiplantae; Streptophyta; Magnoliopsida; Gentianales; Rubiaceae.